GCUCUCUCUCUCUUUCUCUCUCUCAUCUAGUAUCGUUAGUGUAUUACUAUUUUGAAAAAAUAUUUAAGUUACAAGAUGCACUAACAUGUACAAUGAUAAAAGUCUAUAUAAGAAAAAACAUAGUAAAAAGACAUUUAAUGUCAGUAUAAUGAACUCUGAUUAAAAUACUGACAUACUGAUGAUUAGUCAAAAAUAAAUUGCUUUAGAUUUGAUAAUAUUAUAGUAAAUAUAUUUCUGGUAUAAAGUGAAGAAUUAUUCAUUAACAUUGCAGCAUUGUUGGCAUUCUAUUAAUUUAGUCAAAAUUAAUGACUAAAACUAUAGUAAAAGAUAGGUUAUAAACAAAACUUAAAAAUUAUUGAACAAGCUCAUUCAUUCAUUACUGUACACAACUCUAGAAAAGAGAUACAUGUUUUUCAUCUAUAAUUUGGUACAACCAUUAUAACCUAGAUUUCAUGUUGGCUGUCAGAUAUCAGAUAUUACUCAUUCUGCCCACAACUGCAUCAAAUGUAUUUAUGGCUUGUCAUUUACCCCUCAAAAUCUCUAAUAAUUUAGGGGUAGUGAAUCAAGCUAAAAACUUAAAGUCACCAUAACAAAAUAAAAGAGAGUGGAAAUAUCUAAAGAAAAUAAAUGCCAUUCCCAAACAUGAACAAUAUGCAAGAUAUUGAGGUGUGUAUGUGUUCACUGACUAUUUGUGCUUCUAUUCUCUACUGAAUAUUCUAAAAGCUUACCAUAAGAGGAAGUGAUGCCCAUGUUUUCUCCUGUUAUUGUCUUGCUCACAAAACCUUUUUACAUCCCAUCUCAGGAACAAAGCUUGUUGUGGAGAAUGCCAAAGACAAUAUAAAUCCUUCACUUGUCUCACAUGAAGUAAGUUCUAGAUUCAUGUGCCUAGCAACGGAAGCAUCUCCCUUCUCAGAACCUGGCAACUGAUGCGGUUCUUCCCAAUGGCUCUUCUACCACACCAACCAAAUUUAUUUGUUUUUAUCUUUGACGUCAGUAAGUCUAACUUCUUUCUCCACAUAUGCUACGCACCAAUGUCUCUGCAAAACAAUAAGAAAUACAACCCCAGCAGCAGCAGCAGCAGCAGCAGCAGCAGCAGCAGCAGCAGCAGCAGCAGCAGCAACAACAACAGCAAGACACUGAAAAACUGGAUUCCAUUUAGUGUUCGCCAAUUAUGUGUGAUCAUCAUGUCUGCUCACAAAUGAGUGAGUGGGGUUAGAAUACAGUUUCACUGUAUUGAAGAAAA
This is a non-coding RNA of Rattus norvegicus (Norway rat), 1243 nucleotides long. The record is from RefSeq and is a predicted model, not a curated record. NCBI's taxonomy places the organism in Eukaryota, Metazoa, Chordata, Mammalia, Rodentia, Muridae.